GCAGCUCAGUGCCAGUUAGUUUGUGUAAACUGUCUAAGAAGGGAAGUGAUGUCUCCAUUUUGGCUCUAAGCUUGAAAUCCCUUCAUAUCUUCACACACAUCUCUGACUCUGAUCCAUCUACGAUGCACACAUCAUGGAUCAGUCCGUUUUAUUGGAUUCUCUCUGGUGCUGCUUUUCUGCUGGCAAAGAGUCUUAUUAGUGUUGUGUGUGUGUGUGUGUGUGUGUGUGUGUGUGUGUGUGUGUGUGUGUGUGUGAUACACGUGGAUGAAGGCAGAAAGCAGACACAGUGUGUGGUGUGAAACAGCAGUGAGAUCCAGCUGUAGUGAGCAGGAGAGACGGUGGCAGCAGGAAGGGUGGAUGAUGGAGGAGAAGAAAGAUGUAGUUUUCAUGUCUUCUCUCUCGUCUGCUUUUGGAAUUAAAUGUCAGCAGUAAGUGAUGACGCUCUCCACACUGUAAUGCUGCGUUCAGGACGAGUCGUGACUUGGAAAUGUGCGACGUCCUCCCGGGAAAAGUGCAAUGGAGCGCCACUGGAAGGAGGAAUUCCUCCUGGUGAACUCUGGGUACAUUUAUGUCCCCUGACUUCACGAGGGAGCAGUCGUCUGACGUCACACAAUGCUGGCAGCACCCAUGGGAGGGUGGUAGGGUGUAGACAGCAGUAUUUGUAAAAGGCUCGUGAAGGAAAUGUGUAGAUAUGUUUCCAAGUGUUAAAGUGCUGUAAGAUAAAACACAUCAUGGGGUCUGUAACCUCAUGUGUCCUCUGGCUCAUUUUUAAUGCUCUGAGGCUGCACUGCUGAGGCUGCAGGUGUAUGUCCACUUGCCAGAGAGACAUCAUUUUAUCUCAGUCAUUAACAGAAUCAUAUCUUGGGUUCACUUUUGUCAUCUCGCUCCUGGAACUCUUUGAGUUUUGAAGUUUCCUCCAGGAAAUUCCAGCCUGUGACACCAUGAGGCGUUCAGGGUCAGUGCUGUGGUCAGACUGUGGUCGUACUGGGCAGCUCCCAGACGGACAGUGGACUGGUUACAAGAGACGUUUGAGACGUUUCAGUUGAUAUCGACCUCUUUUGCCAUGAAAACACGUCAUUGUUGGAACUUGCUUGAAGUCAAAAUGACGUCAACCAUUUUUAUCUCAAAGAUGAACUGUAAACUUGUAGAGGAUCUGAUCAUCUUCUGUUUUGUUGUUCUCCAGAACGUCCUCCUCCAUCUCCUCUCAGGAAAACACUAAACCACAUCUCUGAUUCACUCUACAGACGCAGGCAGAGUGCACUAUCUCUCCUGGCGUCAUUUCCCCAAAGCUGCACAUGACUGACAGUGGAAUCAUGAAUCUGUGGCUGAGCCGUUGUUUCCUCUGAGGGCAGCGCUGACGCCCGUCUCUCUGCAGAGCGUCUUUAAACUCGUCGUCCGCUCAGACUUCAUCGAUUCGGACGUCGACCCUGUUCGUCUUGUCAAAGUGCAGCCGAUGAGCUGGAGAGAGAGACGGAGGAUAAGAUGAUGGAGGAAAUGAACAUCAAUAUAGUCGGGCGGACUGACCGAGUACAGUCUCUGUGCAGGAAACACCGAGCUGGUGUUUGAUGGGACGUUUUGCUUUUUCAUUAAUAAGUGAAGUAGGUAAUCAGCUCAGCUGCUUGUUUUACAGCGAGCACUUCUUCCUAAUGAGCAUCAGCUCUAAUCACACAGGUAGAUCACUGUUCACCUCCUCGCUCUCCCUCUAACAAGACAAACCUGACAAAGUGUGAAUCAUAAUUUAUUCUCACUGCUCUGUUUGGUUUCUCAUCAGUUUUCUUCAGUAAGUUGAACAAAUGAAUGUCAAAUAAACCUCCUUUAUGAUAAUUGUUAAAGAGAUACUGCUGCAGAUGUUGUAUGAAUAUUUCUCUUUAAUAAAGAAGAUAAAUGCA
Molecule: long non-coding RNA, 1889 nt
Organism: Acanthopagrus latus (yellowfin seabream)
Lineage: Eukaryota; Metazoa; Chordata; Actinopteri; Spariformes; Sparidae
Exons: 2
Source: RefSeq, a predicted model, not a curated record